GCGCCUGUAACUCAGCUGGAUAGAGUACCAUCCUCCUAAGAUGGGAGUCAGACGUUCAAAUCGUCUCAGGCGCGCCA
Molecule: transfer RNA, 77 nt
Filed under: Bacilli bacterium
Lineage: Bacteria; Bacillati; Bacillota; Bacilli
Also listed under: 1 other name
Description: tRNA-Arg
Rfam family: tRNA
About the family: Transfer RNA (tRNA) molecules are approximately 80 nucleotides in length. Their secondary structure includes four short double-helical elements and three loops (D, anti-codon, and T loops). Further hydrogen bonds mediate the characteristic L-shaped molecular structure. tRNAs have two regions of fundamental functional importance: the anti-codon, which is responsible for specific mRNA codon recognition, and the 3' end, to which the tRNAs corresponding amino acid is attached (by aminoacyl-tRNA synthetases). tRNAs cope with the degeneracy of the genetic code in two manners: having more than one tRNA (with a specific anti-codon) for a particular amino acid; and 'wobble' base-pairing, i.e. permitting non-standard base-pairing at the 3rd anti-codon position.
Source: RNAcentral